Long non-coding RNA from Etheostoma spectabile (orangethroat darter), 121 nucleotides. RefSeq lists it as uncharacterized. The transcript is spliced from 3 exons. NCBI's taxonomy places the organism in Eukaryota, Metazoa, Chordata, Actinopteri, Perciformes, Percidae. The record is from RefSeq and is a predicted model, not a curated record.
ACACAGACUAUACGUCAUACAGUUCAUCAGCUGGGACAGGGGGCGUGGCUAAAGCAUGGGGGCGGGCCAAACCAUGAACAAUGAAAACAGAACUCUCUGUUGAGUUCAAUGAUACCUCACA